AUGGCGGUUGCAGCGAUCGCCCUCACUCUCCUCCUCGUCUCCGUGGCGCCGGCCGCCGUCACCUGUAGCGAGGAGCUUGCUGCAGUGCUCCGGUGCCACCCGGCGCCGGCGCUCACGGACGCAUUCCGCGCCACCGUCCUGCCCCUCCUCGCCGCCCUCCCCUCCGCAGCCGCGCCGACAGGCUUCGCCUCCCUGCACUCCGACGGCGCGUUCGCCCGGGGGGUCUGCUUCGGCGACUCCACCACGCUGCCUUCAGGCUUCGAGUGCGCCCGGUGCCUGUCCGACGCCGCCAGGAACCUCACCGCCGGAUGCGGUGCCGCCAGCCACCGAGCCGGCAUCUUGAGCCAGCGCUGCUCGCUCUGGUACGCCGACACAAACUUCUCUUCGCCCGGCGAGGACGCCUUCCUAGCGCGCUUCCGCCUCGCGCUCCCUGCUUCUUCUGACUCUGAGACCAGCACCGGGCGCUCGGCCGGAAGGCUCUCCAGGCCGGCGAUGCCGUCCAACACGCGCGUGGUUCACAAAACCAUCGUGGAGAGAGGCUGCGGCUACGACUACGCCGUCGUGAGAAGCACGGUCCAUGUGCGGGUGCAUUGCGCCGGCGACCUCACGGCGGCGGACUGCGGCCGGUGCGUGCAGCACUCGGUGGAGGCCAUGGGCUGGGACCUCGACGUGGCCUGCGGCGAUGGUGGCGCGGCGGCCGCGGUGGUGGGCUUCAACUGCCACGUUCAGUUCGAGGUCUCCACCGCACUGGUGCCGCGUAGCGACCAGAGUGACGACCCCAGCGACCACAGCAGCCUUCUCCGUGUAGGCCUUCUAGCUUUCAUCAUAGCCAACUUGAUUUUGACUGCUGCACUCCUUCUCCUUCCUUCUCGCCGUCGCCGGUGA
This 885-nucleotide ribosomal RNA is filed under the name Triticum aestivum (bread wheat). RNAcentral describes it as "partial small subunit ribosomal RNA". The record is from RNAcentral. Lineage: Eukaryota; Viridiplantae; Streptophyta; Magnoliopsida; Poales; Poaceae.